AGGGCGAACGCUGGCGGCGUGCUUCAUACAUGCAAGUCGAACGAUAAGGCACCUUCGGGUGUACAUAAGUGGCGGACGGGUGAGUAAAAUGUAGAGAAUCUGCCCUAGAGAGUGGGACAACAGAGGGAAACUUCUGCUAAUACCGCAUAUGCGCGUAGCUGAGAUGCUAUUCGUGAAAACUCCGGUGCUCUGGGAUGAGUCUGCAUCUGAUUAGCUAGUUGGGGGUGUAAUGGACCACCAAGGCGACGAUCAGUAGCUGGUUUGAGAGGAUGAUCAGCCACAAUGGGACUGAGACACGGCCCAUACUCCUACGGGAGGCAGCAGUAGGGAAUUUUGCGCAAUGGGGGGAACCCUGAACCGCAGCAACGCCGCGUGACCGAAGAAGCCCUUCGGGGUGUAAAGGUCUGUCAGUGGGGACGAAAAAUGACGGUACCCACAGAGGAAGCAUCGGCUAACUCCGUGCCAGCAGCCGC
Molecule: ribosomal RNA, 473 nt
Filed under: uncultured bacterium
Lineage: Bacteria
Description: bacterial SSU rRNA
Rfam family: Bacterial small subunit ribosomal RNA
Source: RNAcentral